AUGACCCAUGCUUCCAUCACGCUGGAGGCACUUGUGUCCAGAGCUCUGAGUAAACCCUGGAUGGCCCAUGGAACUGCAAAAGCAGCAGCGAGACACCAGAAAGAAGAGGCACGUUCGGUGCUCCGGCAGUGCCCAGCAAAGCACAGCGUGGAAUGGUGCCCUUCUCUUGCUGUCUUGUUAAACCAAGCACAGGCUAAUCCCCUCGGCUGUGCUCUUCGAGGUACUGGCUACCCGGCAGGAAGGAGCAACCUGACUUCAUCAGGCAGAAGAGGUGAUGAGUGGUGCAGGGAAGUGUGUGUUUCUCCCCUCAGAAGAGCAUUAACAGCUAAGACCUCCGGUCUGAUGGACUUGCUUGGUGCUCUUCCAAGCUGA
Molecule: long non-coding RNA, 372 nt
Filed under: Numida meleagris (helmeted guineafowl)
Lineage: Eukaryota; Metazoa; Chordata; Aves; Galliformes; Numididae
Description: lncRNA (ENSNMEG00000008175.1)
Source: RNAcentral